AGAGUUUGAUCCUGGCUUAGGAUGAACGCUAGCUACAGGCUUAACACAUGCAAGUCGAGGGGCAGCAUUAAGUCAGCUUGCUGAUUAGAUGGCGACCGGCGCACGGGUGAGUAACGCGUAUCCAACCUGCCCCCUACCCGGGGAUAGCCUUGCGAAAGUAAGAUUAAUACCCGGUGCUGUUGCGAUCCCGCAUGGGGAUGCAACGAAAGAUUCAUCGGUAGGGGAUGGGGAUGCGUCCGAUUAGCUUGUUGGCGGGGUAACGGCCCACCAAGGCGACGAUCGGUAGGGGUUCUGAGAGGAAGGUCCCCCCACAUUGGAACUGAGACACGGUCCAAACUCCUACGGGAGGCAGCAGUGAGGAAUAUUGGUCAAUGGGCGAGAGCCUGAACCAGCCCAAGUAGCGUGAAGGAAGACUGCCCUACGGGUUGUAAACUUCUUUUGUACGGGAAUAAAGUGAGGCUCGUGAGCCUUUUUGCAUGUACCGUACGAAUAAGGACCGGCUAAUUCCGUGCCAGCCGCCGC
Molecule: ribosomal RNA, 522 nt
Filed under: uncultured bacterium
Lineage: Bacteria
Description: bacterial SSU rRNA
Rfam family: Bacterial small subunit ribosomal RNA
Source: RNAcentral